This 45-nucleotide transfer RNA is filed under the name Escherichia coli P0299917.7. Its description in RNAcentral is "partial tRNA-Lys". It matches the Rfam family "tRNA", at positions 1 to 44 of the family's 71-position model. Rfam says of the family: Transfer RNA (tRNA) molecules are approximately 80 nucleotides in length. Lineage: Bacteria; Pseudomonadati; Pseudomonadota; Gammaproteobacteria; Enterobacterales; Enterobacteriaceae. The record is from RNAcentral.
GGGUCGUUAGCUCAGUUGGUAGAGCAGUUGACUUUUAAUCAAUUG